AAAGUGGGGAUAGUAACAGUGCCCGCCUCAUAGCCCCAAUGUGAGAAUUACAUUAAUGCAGGAAGAGGCUUAAUUGCAGUGCAUGGGACCCAGCAUUCAGUACCGUUAGCUCUACUGCUGUGAUCACCACCGUCAUCACCAGUUUGACUGGUGUUUCCUCUCUGCCUUCAAGUAAUAACACUUACCUGGCCACUUUGCCUGCUCAGCGCCCUUCAGUGGCUUCCUAAUCCACUUGGGAAGAGACCAAGCCCCUGGAAGUAGCCUGGCAGCCCCACCUCCCUCUCUAGCCUCACCUUGCAUGACAUUCCCCCUUGCUCCAUUCCCUGCAGCCACACGGGCCUCAUAUCAGUUCUUCGUGUGAUUUAUGCUUGUCCCAUGCCAGGCACUCUGCCUCGAAUGACCUUUCCCUCCUCCUGCCCCUGGUUGAUGCCUCCUCAAUGUGGCCAUGGCCUCUCAGCCUCCCUGCACGCCCCCAGGCACUGUGAACCUGCGCUGCAGCCCUUGUCAUAGCUGUGAGCGGGCACUCAUUCCUUCCCUGGGUCGAUCUGUGCCGUUCCUACGAGACCCUAAGCUCCACGAGAGCAAAGACCCAAUCAUCCUUUGCCCACCUUUGUACUCAUGAUGUUUGCACAUGAGGUGCAGCACCUGUGUCUGAUCCUUCUCUCUCUCCUCCUGCCCGACCUUGCACAUAGCAGAAGAGGAGGAACCGUUUGUGUAGAGCCACAAAGCUACAAGGAAGAAGAGCACCCUGUGGUGGGCCAAAACAGACGGAGGACCUGCCCAAGGCACGGUGGCAACCCAGAAGAGGUACUACCCAGGCCUGGAGAGUCAGGAAGGCUUCCAGGAGGAAGCAGCAACCCUUCUGAGGCCUGAAGGAUGUCAGGUCAAGCAUGGUGGGGCAGCAGGAGGCGUGGAGGCACCGAGAUGGUUGCAGUGGAAGAAUAGCAUCUGCAAAGGCCAGAGGUGAGGGAGAGCUCGGGAUUCUCAAGUAAAGGCAAAGAGCUGUUUCUGAAGCAGAGAGUUCAUGUGGAAGAGAGGGAAAGGAUGAGCUUGGGGCCCAAAUGGGCCUUGGAGGCCAGUUAAACACUCCAACAUUUUCCUGAAGGCAGUUUGUGUAGGAUUGCCAGGUUUAGCAAAUAAAAAUACAGGUUGUCCUGUUAACUCUGAAUUUCAGAUCAACAAUUUUUUUAAAGUAGUUAUGUAUUCAGUAUUUUAUUUAUUUAUUUUUGGCUGUGUUGGGUCUUCGUUUCUGUGCGAGGGCUUUCUCUAGUUGCGGCAAGUGGGGGCCACUCUUCAUCGCGGUGCGCGGGCCUCUCAC
Non-coding RNA from Kogia breviceps (pygmy sperm whale), 1318 nucleotides. The record is from RefSeq and is a predicted model, not a curated record. NCBI's taxonomy places the organism in Eukaryota, Metazoa, Chordata, Mammalia, Artiodactyla, Physeteridae.